RNAcentral lists this ribosomal RNA (1373 nucleotides) under Lunella aff. cinerea STW-2013. RNAcentral's name for it is "16S ribosomal RNA". It matches the Rfam family "Bacterial large subunit ribosomal RNA", at positions 606 to 2925 of the family's 2925-position model. The record is from RNAcentral. Lineage: Eukaryota; Metazoa; Mollusca; Gastropoda; Trochida; Turbinidae.
UUUUGUAUCAUGGUUCUCCUACCUUAAAUUUACUAUAAAAUGAACCCGAAAAAAAUUGAGCUAUUAUUUCAACUCUUUGUUAAUACAUUAACGUAGAAAAGUUAUGUAAAGAUUGAAUAAUAGGGGUGAUACACCUUUCGAAAUUUUUGAUUGCUGGUUAAUCAGGAAAUGUAUCAAAGUACAGGUAAAUAAAUUUAUCAGAGAUUCUAAGACUUCAACUUUAAAAUCAAGAUUAUAUAAUAUUUAACUGACCUGAAGAAGGAUAAGCUUCUUUAGAAAAUUAAAAGACUCAGCAUUCAAACUAAAAACUGAAUUGUAGGCUUAAGAUUAGCCAUUUAACUAAUAAAGUUUGUUAUAAAAUAUUUUAUAUUUUAUUUAAAAUACUUAACAUGGUCUUUAAAAAAUCUCAAUUAUGUAAUAGAUUUCAAUAAUACUGAUUUUAUUAAUCAAGUUAAUUAAUUAAUUUAUUUCUGGUGAAACGAGUAUUUAAGACUUUUAAUAUAUAGAUUUCGUUAAUAAGUUGAUUUAAAGAUUUAAUAACGUAUAACUAAUUGAUUUAAAACUACAGUCUAUGAUUUAAUUUUUAAAAAGGAACUCGGCAAAAAUUAGUUCCGCCUGUUUAUCAAAAACAUCGCUCCUUGGUUAUUUGUUCAAUAACAAUAGAAUUAAAAAUAUUUAUAGGGAGUCGGACCUGCCCGGUGACAUAUGUUAAACGGCCGCGGUACUCUGACCGUGCAAAGGUAGCAUAAUCAUUUGCCUUUUAAUUAAAGGCUAGUAUGAAUGGUUUGACGAGAGCUAAGCUGUCUCUUUUAAAAUAUAAAAAAACUAAUUUCUAGGUGAAGAAGCCUAGAUUUAAUUGAGGGACAAGAAGACCCCUUUGAGCUUUAGUAAUUUAACAAAAACGACUCAUGUAUCGUUACGAUAUAUUAAUAUUGUAUUAAUAUAAAUACUAUUUAUUAAAAAUCUUUAGUUGGGGCGACUGAGGAACACAUCAAGCUUCCUCUAAAAUUUAUUAACAGAAAAUCAAUUUAUAAAAUGAUCCAGCACUUUGUUGAUCAAAGAAAAAAGUUACCGUGGGGAUAACAGCGUAAUCCUUCUAAAGAGUUCAUAUCGAAAGAAGGGUUUGCGACCUCGAUGUUGGACUAAGAUAUCCUGGGGGUGCAGAAGCUCCUAAUGGUUAGUCUGUUCGACUAUUAAAAUCUUACAUGAUCUGAGUUCAGACCGGCGUAAGCCAGGUUGGUUUCUAUCUUCAAUUAAUUAAAUGAGUCUUUAGCUAGUACGAAAGGACCGCUGUCAAGAUAAAUAGUUUAUUUUCAAAGAACAAAUAUAAUUAAAAGAAUUAUUAAGAAAUAAAAGUCAAACAUAAAAUUGAU